Molecule: ribosomal RNA, 442 nt
Filed under: uncultured bacterium
Lineage: Bacteria
Description: partial 16S ribosomal RNA
Rfam family: Bacterial small subunit ribosomal RNA
Source: RNAcentral
CCUACGGGGCGCAGCAGUGGGGAAUAUUGGGCAAUGGGCGCAAGCCUGACCCAGCAACGCCGCGUGAAGGAAGAAGGCUUUCUGGUUUUAAACUUCCUUUUAUAGGGAAGAGCAGAAGACUGUACCUCUUGAAUAAGCCACGUCUAACUACGUGCCAGCAGCCGCGGUAAUACGUAGGUGGCAAUCGUUAUCCGGAUUUACUGGGUGUAAAGGGCGUGCAGCCGGGAAGACAAGUCAGAUGUGAAAGCCCGGGGCUCAACCGCGGAACUGCAUUUGAUACUGUUUUUCUAGAGUACCGGAGAGGUCAGCGGAAUGUCUGGUGUAGCGGUGAAAUGCGUAGAUAUCAGGAAGAACACCGGUGGCGAAGGCGGAUGACUAGACGGCAACUGACGGUGAGGCGCGAAAGCGUGGGGAGCAAACAGGAUUAGAUACCCUUGUAGUC